Molecule: ribosomal RNA, 440 nt
Filed under: uncultured bacterium
Lineage: Bacteria
Description: bacterial SSU rRNA
Rfam family: Bacterial small subunit ribosomal RNA
Source: RNAcentral
CCUACGGGCGGCAGCAGUGGGGAAUAUUGGGCAAUGGGCGAAAGCCUGAUCCAGCAAUGCCGCGUGUGUGAAGAAGGUCUUCGGAUUGUAAAGCACUUUCGACGGGGACGAUGAUGACGGUACCCGUGGAAGAAGCCCCGGCUAACUUCGUGCCAGCAGCCGCGGUAAUACGAAGGGGGCUAGCGUUGCUCAGAAUGACUGGGCGUAAAGGGCGCGUAGGCGGUUUAUGCAGUCAGAUGUGAAAUCCCCGGGCUUAACCUGGGAACUGCAUUUGAGACGCAUAGACUAGAGGUCGAGAGAGGGUUGUGGAAUUCCCAGUGUAGAGGUGGAAUUCGUAGAUAUUGGGAAGAACACCGGUGGCGAAGGCGGCAACCUGGCUCGAUACUGACGCUGAGGCGCGAAAGCGUGGGGAGCAAACAGGAUUAGAUACCCCAGUAGUC